GAUUGAGUCUUACUUCCUUUGCUUUCAAUUCGGAAAUGCACCUGUUCUCCAGAUAGAUCACUGAGGCUUGAGUGGAGGGUUUCUGUAGAGACAUCCCAAAAUCUUUUAUUCUCUGCACAGUUUCCGAUUGUGGGUCCCUGUUUUACUUAGCAUCUACUGCAAGAUGCAGCUUCUCUGGAGUGUGGACCCAGUGUGUCUUGCUGGCGUUGGCAGAGUAAUCUACCACUCUGUUGGAGGAGGGCUGCAGUGACGCUGUGACAUUUUCCUGCAGGGCUCAUGAUGGUUGCCGCGGCUGCAGCAAUCCCCUUGAACAGACAUGCCUGCCUCUCACAGUCAUCUUUGCAACUCUUGGCUUCUUGCUGCUUCUUUCCUCACAAGUGCUCAGUGAGCUCUCACUUCUUCAGAACCAGUCAUAUUUGCAUAAAAUUGAUAACCUGAAAAGGUGUUUGUCAUUAGUCGAAAGGAAAAGAUGAGUAUAAAAGGGCUGAGGUGUUUUGCAGGUGGCCGGUUCUUUUCUUCUUGAGCUCCAGGGCUGGAAACCAAGCCUCGGACCUGGAGCUCGUUCAACGCACACUGCACCACUGGACUGAAUCCCAGCCCCUAGGUUUCCAGUUCUGUGUCUGCUUUGAAAUUGUCUCCAGAGUCGGGUUGCUGACGGUCUGUGUAGUUCAGUUUCUCUAUAUCCAAGGUUUGACUUGUAGUAGGCGAGUCUGAAGACUAAAUCCUUUUAGUUAUCUCUUCUGUUCCGUUUUGAAGAGGCAUGCAAGCCAGCUGCCAUGAGUAGGGAAUAGAAGAAAUACCAGUAGUUGAGGAAUGGAGACGCAAACUUAAGAUGCGCUUACAGUUGUUGGUGUCUUUUGAGAUGGUCAUGAUUUGAGACCAUGUAGUUCUCCAGAUUGUUGAACCCACAGGGAUUUCCUAUGGGGUUGCUUGCUUGGAAACCUUCCUGGGCAAUCCGAUUAGCCUACAGUUGAAGCUCUCCCACACCAAUGCUGUAGGAAAUUACAAUGCUGUGGGGAAAAUACCACACACACACACACACACACAUGCACGCACACACGCACCGACACACACACAUACACACAGUCUUGAAAUUAAUUUUUCAAGCCUACAUUCACCAAUGUACACUGCAACCGAUUAUUUGAAAAAUGAUUAUAAGGUUACCUUCACCUAAUAUUUUAAAGGUUGGACAUAAAAGCUUCCUUCGUAUAAAUUGUACUUGACUGACUUUCCCACAAUGCCUUGCUACUGAAGAGCUGCAAGGGUGAUUAUAAUCCUAGCAAUUCAGCAAGAAAUAAAACCCAACCAAUAAAAACACAGAUAUUUGCAUAUUCGAUUUUGCUUUGCCAUCAAACUUACAGCCUUUCAAGCACCACACUAGGAAGAUACCUUUCCAAAUCUCCAGCAAUCAGUACAGACACUUUGAUUUUUGUUGUUGUUUGGCUUUAUGGAACAGGUUCUGUGUAACCCAGUCUGGCCUCAAACUCUCAAUCUUCCUUUCUUUAGCUCCCCAGUGUUGAAAUUACAGGUGCAUAACCACCAGACCUGGGUUCAAUUCAGGCAUUAACUUCAUUAGUUUUUAAACUGAGAACUGACACUGCCGUAUGUAAUUUAAGAUUAUCCAUCAACAUGAAACAGCUUUACUUUUGUCUCUUCUACUGAAAAGUUUGAUGCGUAAGGUCAAAUGCUUGAAACCGAAGUAAAAUAAUACAGCAAGCA
Long non-coding RNA from Mesocricetus auratus (golden hamster), 1719 nucleotides. RefSeq lists it as uncharacterized. The record is from RefSeq and is a predicted model, not a curated record. The transcript has 3 exons. NCBI's taxonomy places the organism in Eukaryota, Metazoa, Chordata, Mammalia, Rodentia, Cricetidae.